This 492-nucleotide ribosomal RNA is filed under the name uncultured bacterium. RNAcentral describes it as "partial 16S ribosomal RNA". It matches the Rfam family "Bacterial small subunit ribosomal RNA", at positions 29 to 507 of the family's 1533-position model. The record is from RNAcentral.
AGUGAACGCUGGCGGUAGGCCUAACACAUGCAAGUCGAACGGCAGCACAGUAAGAGCUUGCUCUUACGGGUGGCGAGUGGCGGACGGGUGAGGAGUACAUCGGAAUUUACUUUUUCGUGGGGGAUAACGUAGGGAAACUUACGCUAAUACCGCAUACGACCUACGGGUGAAAGCAGGGGAUCUUCGGACCUUGCGCGAUUGAAUGAGCCGAUGUCGGAUUAGCUAGUUGGCGGGGUAAAGGCCCACCAAGGCGACGAUCCGUAGCUGGUCUGAGAGGAUGAUCAGCCACACUGGAACUGAGACACGGUCCAGACUCCUACGGGAGGCAGCAGUGGGGAAUAUUGGACAAUGGGCGCAAGCCUGAUCCAGCCAUACCGCGUGGGUGAAGAAGGCCUUCGGGUUGUAAAGCCCUUUUGUUGGGAAAGAAAAGCAGCAGGUUAAUACCCCGCUGUUCUGACGGUACCCAAAGAAUAAGCACCGGCUAACUUCGUG